Molecule: ribosomal RNA, 451 nt
Filed under: Staphylococcus aureus
Lineage: Bacteria; Bacillati; Bacillota; Bacilli; Caryophanales; Staphylococcaceae
Description: partial 23S ribosomal RNA
Rfam family: Bacterial large subunit ribosomal RNA
Source: RNAcentral
GAUUAAGUUAUUAAGGGCGCACGGUGGAUGCCUUGGCACUAGAAGCCGAUGAAGGACGUUACUAACGACGAUAUGCUUUGGGGAGCUGUAAGUAAGCUUUGAUCCAGAGAUUUCCGAAUGGGGAAACCCAGCAUGAGUUAUGUCAUGUUAUCGAUAUGUGAAUACAUAGCAUAUCAGAAGGCACACCCGGAGAACUGAAACAUCUUAGUACCCGGAGGAAGAAAAAGAAAAUUCGAUUCCCUUAGUAGCGGCGAGCGAAACGGGAAGAGCCCAAACCAACAAGCUUGCUUGUUGGGGUUGUAGGACACUCUAUACGGAGUUACAAAGGACGACAUUAGACGAAUCAUCUGGAAAGAUGAAUCAAAGAAGGUAAUAAUCCUGUAGUCGAAAAUGUUGUCUCUCUUGAGUGGAUCCUGAGUACGACGGAACACGUGAAAUUCCGUCGGAAUCU